GGAUUAGAUACCCUGGUAGUCCACGCCGUAAACGAUGAUUACUCGUUGCAGGCGAUAUACAGUCUGUGACCAAGCGAAAGCAUUAAGUAAUCCACCUGGGGAGUACGUUGGCAACGAUGAAACUCAAAGGAAUUGACGGGGGCCCGCACAAGCGGAGGAACAUGUGGUUUAAUUCGAUGAUACGCGAGGAACCUUACCUGGAUUUAAAUGUGCUUGACCGCCUCAGAAAAGGGGUUUUCCGCAAGGACAAGUACAAGGUGCUGCAUGGUCGUCGUCAGCUCGUGCCG
Molecule: ribosomal RNA, 287 nt
Filed under: uncultured bacterium
Lineage: Bacteria
Description: partial 16S ribosomal RNA
Rfam family: Bacterial small subunit ribosomal RNA
Source: RNAcentral